This 374-nucleotide ribosomal RNA is filed under the name uncultured organism. Its description in RNAcentral is "partial 16S ribosomal RNA". It matches the Rfam family "Bacterial small subunit ribosomal RNA", at positions 527 to 896 of the family's 1533-position model. The record is from RNAcentral.
GUAGGUGGCAAGCGUUGUCCGGAAUUAUUGGGCGUAAAGCGCGCGCAGGCGGUCCUUUAAGUCUGAUGUGAAAGCCCACGGCUCAACCGUGGAGGGUCAUUGGAAACUGGGGGACUUGAGUACAGAAGAGGAAAGCGGAAUUCCAAGUGUAGCGGUGAAAUGCGUAGAGAUUUGGAGGGACACCAGUGGCGAAGGCGGCUUUCUGGUCUGUAACUGACGCUGAGGCGCGAAAGCGUGGGGAGCAAACAGGAUUAGAUACCCUGGUAGUCCACGCCGUAAACGAUGAGUGCUAAGUGUUAGGGGGUUUCCCGCCCCCCUUAGUGCUGCAGCUAACGCAUUAAGCACUCCGCCUGGGGAGUACGGCCGCAAGGCUG